Molecule: ribosomal RNA, 468 nt
Filed under: uncultured bacterium
Lineage: Bacteria
Description: partial 16S ribosomal RNA
Rfam family: Bacterial small subunit ribosomal RNA
Source: RNAcentral
GACGAACGCUGGCGGCGUGCUUAACACAUGCAAGUCGAACGGAAAGGCCCUGCUUUUGCGGGGUGCUCGAGUGGCGAACGGGUGAGUAACACGGGAGUAACCUGCCCUUGACUUUGGGAUAACUUCAGGAAACUGGGGCUAAUACCGGCUAGGAGCUCCUGCUGCAUGGUGGGGGUUGGAAAGUUUCGGCGGUUGGGGAUGGACUCGCGGCUUAUCAGCUUGUUGGUGGGGUAGUGGCUUACCAAGGCUUUGACGGGUAGCCGGCCUGAGAGGGUGACCGGCCACAUUGGGACUGAGAUACGGCCCAGACUCCUACGGGAGGCAGCAGUGGGGAAUAUUGCACAAUGGGCGGAAGCCUGAUGCAGCAACGCCGCGUGCGGGAUGACGGCCUUCGGGUUGUAAACCGCUUUCGCCUGUGACGAAGCGUGAGUGACGGUAAUGGGUAAAGAAGCACCGGCUAACUACGUG